GAACGCUGGCGGCGUGCUUAACACAUGCAAGUCGAACGAUGAACCUGGAGCUUGCUCUGGGGGAUUAGUGGCGAACGGGUGAGUAACACGUGAGUAACCUGCCCUGGACUCUGGGAUAAGCGUUGGAAACGACGUCUAAUACCGGAUAGGACCUCGGAUCGCAUGAUCUGGGGUGGAAAGUUUUUUCGGUCUGGGAUGGACUCGCGGCCUAUCAGCUUGUUGGUGAGGUAACGGCUCACCAAGGCGUCGACGGGUAGCCGGCCUGAGAGGGUGACCGGCCACACUGGGACUGAGACACGGCCCAGACUCCUACGGGAGGCAGCAGUGGGGAAUAUUGCACAAUGGGCGAAAGCCUGAUGCAGCAACGCCGCGUGCGGGAUGACGGCCUUCGGGUUGUAAACCGCUUUUAGUAGGGAAGAAGGGCUUCGGCUUGACGGUACCUGCAGAAAAAGGACCGGCUAACUACGUGCCAGCAGCCGCGGUAAUACGUAGGGUCCGAGCGUUGUCCGGAAUUAUUGGGCGUAAAGAGCUCGUAGGCGGUUUGUCGCGUCUGCUGUGAAAACUGGAGGCUCAACCUCCAGCCUGCAGUGGGUACGGGCAGACUAGAGUGCGGUAGGGGAGAAUGGAAUUCCUGGUGUAGCGGUGGAAUGCGCAGAUAUCAGGAGGAACACCGAUGGCGAAGGCAGUUCUCUGGGCCGUAACUGACGCUGAGGAGCGAAAGCGUGGGGAGCGAACAGGAUUAGAUACCCUGGUAGUCCACGCCGUAAA
Molecule: ribosomal RNA, 768 nt
Filed under: Agromyces sp.
Lineage: Bacteria; Bacillati; Actinomycetota; Actinomycetes; Micrococcales; Microbacteriaceae
Description: bacterial SSU rRNA
Rfam family: Bacterial small subunit ribosomal RNA
Source: RNAcentral